RNAcentral lists this ribosomal RNA (391 nucleotides) under uncultured bacterium. RNAcentral's name for it is "bacterial SSU rRNA". It matches the Rfam family "Bacterial small subunit ribosomal RNA", at positions 30 to 420 of the family's 1533-position model. The record is from RNAcentral.
AUUGAACGCUGGCGGCAUGCCUUACACAUGCAAGUCGAACGGCAGCGGACCUUCGGGUGCCGGCGAGUGGCGAACGGGUGAGUAAUAUAUCGGAACGUACCUUUCAGUGGGGGAGUAACGUAGCGAAAGUUACGCUAAUACCGCAUAUUCUGUGAGCAGGAAAGCAGGGGAGUCGCAAGACCUUGCGCUGAUUGAGCGGCCGAUAUCAGAUUAGCUAGUUGGUGAGGUAAAGGCUCACCAAGGCGACGAUCUGUAGCGGGUCUGAGAGGAUGAUCCGCCACACUGGAACUGAGACACGGACCAGACUCCUACGGGAGGCAGCAGUGGGGAAGUUUUGGACAAUGGGCGCAAGCCUGAUCCAGCCAUGCCGCGUGAGUGAAGAAGGCCUCGG